This 254-nucleotide ribosomal RNA is filed under the name uncultured bacterium. Its description in RNAcentral is "partial 16S ribosomal RNA". It matches the Rfam family "Archaeal small subunit ribosomal RNA", at positions 474 to 727 of the family's 1478-position model. The record is from RNAcentral.
UACUCGCGGUCCAAGUCGCAGCCAUUUUUAUUGGGUCUAAAGGGUCUGUAGCCGGCCGGAUAAGUCUCUUGAGAAAUCCAGCAGCUCAACUGUUGGGCUUUCAGGAGAUACUGUUCGGCUCGAGGCCGGGAGAGGUGAGAGGUACUUCAGGGGUAGGGGUGAAAUCUUGUAAUCCUUGAAGGACCACCAGUGGCGAAGGCGUCUCACCAGAACGGACCUGACGGCAAGGGACGAAAGCUAGGGGCACGAACCGG